Molecule: ribosomal RNA, 219 nt
Filed under: Clostridioides difficile
Lineage: Bacteria; Bacillati; Bacillota; Clostridia; Peptostreptococcales; Peptostreptococcaceae
Description: partial 23S ribosomal RNA
Rfam family: Bacterial large subunit ribosomal RNA
Source: RNAcentral
GGGGAGUGAAAUAGAACCUGAAACCCUGCACUUACAAGCUGUGGAAGCACAUUUCUUGUGUGACCGCGUUCUUUUUGUAGAACGGGCCAACGAGUUACGUUAAGUAGCAAGGUUAAGCCCUUAAGGUGCGGAGCCGUAGCGAAAGCGAGUUUUAACUGAGCGUUCAGUUACUUGACGUAGACCCGAAACCGGGCGACCUACCCAUGAGCAGGAUGAAGC